GCCAAAAUACGGCAGAGGAACCACGUGCUUCGCCAUCCCGCCAGAGCGACUGGCCGGCAACAAGGAUCUAACGGCGGAGACACGCGACGCUGAAGAAGAAGAAGAUGGAGGGCGUGCCUCUUGAAGUCCUGUGGUGCCAGUGCCGCGGCAACGCGAGUGCCACCCCGCAGUUCGUCCUCGUUCACCAGCAGGUCCAAAGAAUCCACGAAGAAGCUACGACCCUCGGGGUUUGGUACGUGGCGACAACGCUGACCUUAUACGUCCUCGGUGUCCUCUACAUCCUCGCAAGGGCUGGCACUCUUGGCACCGGUGCCUUCACCUCACUGUCAUAUUGCUGCUCCGAGGCUGUCUCCUCCGCCCUUCGACGCUAGGCUGACAGGGCGGGGUGAUGGACUCAUCGAGUACUACUAGGUUGGGUGAAGGAUCUUAGGAGAGGAAUCUCAUCCUAAGUGUGGUGUCGGGAAGACGGUGGGGAUGGAGGACGUAGGGAGAGAAUCCAAAGGAAGGAUCCGAGGAGGGAGAAAGGGUGACGGAGACCAAGAUGAUGAAGGAGUUUUUCUUAGAAAAUAUACACACGGCGGAUUCUCAUUAGCGGAGAGUCACACGCAAAAGAUUGACUCUACAGUGAGAGGCUCCACGCCUUUAAUCCUUUCAAUUUCAACUGCAGAGGAUAUGUUAGGAUAUAUUGAAUGGGUAAUUCAAUAAAACGUAAUAAUUAGAUAUAUGAAUAUGAAUGAAAAAGUAGAUAAAAAAGAAAGGAAAAAAGGGAAAACACAUCAAAAAGGGUGAAAAAAAGAAUCUAUGAUUCUCAUUUUAUUACUAGACCAUUUUUUCAUAGUAAAAUCUUAUAACUGUUACAUUAUGUUAUCCGAGCCACAAAAUAUCAAAGUUGUUCUCUAAGUAUUAAAUCUGUAAUCACAAGAAACAGUUUUGUGAUCUGAUUAAAGUGCAAAUUAUCUUGA
This 962-nucleotide long non-coding RNA is filed under the name Penaeus japonicus. Its description in RNAcentral is "uncharacterized LOC122246238". Lineage: Eukaryota; Metazoa; Arthropoda; Malacostraca; Decapoda; Penaeidae. The record is from RNAcentral.